This 756-nucleotide ribosomal RNA is filed under the name uncultured bacterium. RNAcentral's name for it is "bacterial SSU rRNA". It matches the Rfam family "Bacterial small subunit ribosomal RNA", at positions 8 to 796 of the family's 1533-position model. The record is from RNAcentral.
AGAGUUUGAUCAUGGCUCAGAAUCAACGCUGGCGGCGCGCUUAACACAUGCAAGUCGCACGAGAAAGUGGAGCAAUCCAUGAGUACAGUGGCGUACGGGUGAGUAACACGUGGAUCAUCUACCUCUUAGUGGGGAAUAACCCUGGGAAACCGGGGCUAAUACCGCAUAAUCUCGAGAGAGGAAAGCAGCAAUGCGCCGAGAGAGGAGUCCGCGGCCGAUUAGCUAGUUGGCAGGGUAAAAGCCUACCAAGGCAAAGAUCGGUAGCCGGCCUGAGAGGGCACACGGCCACACUGGCACUGAAACACGGGCCAGACUCCUACGGGAGGCAGCAGUGGGGAAUCUUGCACAAUGGGGGAAACCCUGAUGCAGCGACGCCGCGUGAGCGAUGAAGCCCUUCGGGGUGUAAAGCUCUUUCGGCAGGGACGAUCAUGACGGUACCUGCAGAAGCAGCUGCGGCUAACUACGUGCCAGCAGCCGCGGUAAUACGUAGGCAGCGAGCGUUGUUCGGAGUUACUGGGCGUAAAGGGUGUGUAGGCGGUUGCUUAAGUUUGGUGUGAAAUCUCCCGGCUCAACUGGGAGGGUGCGCCGAAUACUGAGUGACUCGAGUGCGGGAGAGGAGAGUGGAAUUCCUGGUGUAGCGGUGAAAUGCGUAGAUAUCAGGAGGAACACCGGCGGUGUAGACGGCUCUCUGGACCGUAACUGACGCUGAGACACGAAAGCGUGGGUAGCAAACAGGAUUAGAUACCCUAGUAGUCC